This 69-nucleotide transfer RNA is filed under the name Minisyncoccota bacterium. RNAcentral describes it as "tRNA-Met". It matches the Rfam family "tRNA". Rfam says of the family: Transfer RNA (tRNA) molecules are approximately 80 nucleotides in length. Their secondary structure includes four short double-helical elements and three loops (D, anti-codon, and T loops). The record is from RNAcentral. Lineage: Bacteria; Bacillati; Minisyncoccota.
GGCGGGGUAGCUCAGUUGGUUAGAGCACAGGACUCAUAAGCCUGGGGUCGUUGCUCGUUAUCCUUGCCC